CUGGCGGUGUGCUUUAUGCAUGCAAGUCGAACGGACAUUAGCAAUAACGUUAGUGGCAAACGGGUGAGUAACACGUAAGUAACCUGCCCUUAAGUGGGGGACAACUCUGAGAAAUCGGAGCUAAUACCGCAUGUGAUGGCGAAGCACAAGCUUUGUCAUUAAAGCCGUAAGGCGCUUGAGGAGGGGCUUGCGUCCGACUAGCUAGUUGGUGAGGUAAUGGCCCACCAAGGCUUCGAUCGGUAGCUGGUUUUAGAGGAUGAUCAGCCACACGGGGACUGAGACACGGCCCCGACUCCUACGGGAGGCAGCAGCAAGGAAUAUUGGGCAAUGGGCGAAAGCCUGACCCAGCGACACCGCGUGGGGGAAGACGGCCUUCGGGUUGUAAACCCCUUUUAUUGGGGAAGAAUAAUGACGGUACCCGAUGAAUAAGCCCCGGCUAACUACGUGCCAGCAGCCGCGGUAAUACGUAGGGGGCGAGCGUUAUCCGGAUUUACUGGGCGUAAAGCGGGUGUAGGUGGCUUGGCAAGUCCGGUGUGAAAUCUCCCGGCUUAACUGGGAGGGUGCACUGGAUACUGUUAGGCUAGAGUGCAGUAGAGGGAAGUGGAAUUCCCGGUGUAGUGGUGAUAUGCGUAGAUAUCGGGAGGAACACUAGUGGCGAAGGCGGCUUCCUGGGCUGUAACUGACACUGAGACCCGAAGGCGUGGGGAGCAAACAGGAUUAGAUACCCUGGUAGUCCACGCAGUAAACGAUGGGUACUAGGUAUGGGGAGUAUCGACCCUCACCGUGCCGAAGCUAACGCUUUAAGUACCCCGCCUGGGGAGUACGGUCGCAAGACUAAAACUCAAAGGAAUUGACGGGUGCCCGCACAAGCAGCGGAGCGUGUGGUUUAAUUCGAUGCAACACGAAGAACCUUACCAAGGCUUGACAUGUCUGAAGUAGCGAACCGAAAGGGGAGCGACCUGUAAAGUCAGGAGCUUACACAGGUGCUGCAUGGCUGUCGUCAGCUCGUGCCGUGAGGUGUCGGGUUAAGUCCCAUAACGAGCGCAACCCCUGUUGCCAGUUGUUUUCUCUGGCGAUACUGCCCCGCACAACGGGGAGGAAGGCGGGGAUGACGUCAAGUCAGUAUGGCCUUUAUGCCUUGGGCUACACACACGCUACAAUGGGUGGCACAAUGGGUUGCAAUGGAGUGAUCCGGAGCUAAUCCUUCAAAACCAUCCUCAGUUCGGAUUGCAGGCUGAAACUCGCCUGCAUGAAGUUGGAGUUGCUAGUAACCGUGCACCAGCUUGGCACGGUGAAUACGUUCCUGGGCAUUGUACACACCGCCCGUCACGUCAUGAAAGUCGGCAACACCUGAAGUCGAUGAGUUAACCCUUCGGGGAGGCAGUCGCCUAGGGUGGGGUCGGUGAUUGGGACGAAGUCGUAACAAGGUA
Molecule: ribosomal RNA, 1430 nt
Filed under: metagenome
Description: bacterial SSU rRNA
Rfam family: Bacterial small subunit ribosomal RNA
Source: RNAcentral